CAGCCGCGGUAAUACGGAGGAUGCAAGCGUUAUCCGGAUUCAUUGGGUUUAAAGGGUGCGCAGGCGGAAUAUUAAGUCAGUGGUGAAAUCCUGCAGCUUAACUGUAGAACUGCCAUUGAUACUGAUAUUCUUGAAUAUAGUUGAGGUGGGCGGAAUGUGUAAUGUAGCGGUGAAAUGCUUAGAUAUUACACAGAACACCAAUUGCGAAGGCAGCUCACUAAACUAAUAUUGACGCUGAGGCACGAAAGCGUGGGUAGCAAACAGGAUUAGAUACCCUGGUAGUCCACGCUGUAAACUAUGAUCACUCGCUGUUGGCAAUACAUCGUCAGCGGCUGAGCGAAAGCAUUAAGUGAUCCACCUGGGGAGUACGGUCGCAAGAUUGAAACUCAAAGGAAUUGACGGGGGCCCGCACAAGCGGAGGAACAUGUGGUUUAAUUCGAUGAUACGCGAGGAACCUUACCUGGGCUUAAAUGCAGAGCGACGUCCGCCGAAAGGUGGAUUCCUUCGGGCGAUCUGCAAGGUGCUGCAUGGUUGUCGUCAGCUCGUGCCGUGAGGUGUCGGGUUAAGUCCCAUAACGAGCGCAACCCUUAUCGUUAGUUGCUAGCGGGUAAUGCCGGGGACUCUAACGAAACUGCCGGUGUAAACCGUGAGGAAGGUGGGGAUGACGUCAAAUCAGCACGGCCCUUAUGUCCAGGGCUACACACGUGUUACAAUGGUCGGUACAGAGGGCAGCUACCACGCGAGUGGAUGCUAAUCUCGAAAACCGGUCUCAGUUCGGAUUGAAGUCUGCAACUCGACUUCAUGAAGCUGGAUUCGCUA
RNAcentral lists this ribosomal RNA (819 nucleotides) under uncultured organism. RNAcentral describes it as "bacterial SSU rRNA". It matches the Rfam family "Bacterial small subunit ribosomal RNA", at positions 512 to 1337 of the family's 1533-position model. The record is from RNAcentral.